UACGGAGGAUCCAAGCGUUAUCCGGAUUUAUUGGGUUUAAAGGGUGCGUAGGCGGACUAGUAAGUCAGUGGUGAAAGCCUGUCGCUUAACGACAGAACUGCCACUGAUACUGCUAAUCUUGAGUAUAAUUGAAGUGGGCGGAAUGUGUCGUGUAGCGGUGAAAUGCUUAGAUAUGACACAGAACACCGAUUGCGAAGGCAGCUCACUAAACUAUAACUGACGCUGAGGCACGAAAGCGUGGGGAUCAAACAGG
RNAcentral lists this ribosomal RNA (253 nucleotides) under uncultured bacterium. RNAcentral describes it as "partial 16S ribosomal RNA". It matches the Rfam family "Bacterial small subunit ribosomal RNA", at positions 524 to 776 of the family's 1533-position model. The record is from RNAcentral.